GGAGUUUGAUCCUGGCUCAGAACGAACGCUGGCGGCAUGCCUAACACAUGCAAGUCGAACGAGACCUUCGGGUCUAGUGGCGCACGGGUGCGUAACACGUGGGAAUCUGCCCUUUGCUUCGGAAUAACAGUUAGAAAUGACUGCUAAUACCGGAUGAUGUCGAAAGACCAAAGAUUUAUCGGCAAAGGAUGAGCCCGCGUAGGAUUAGGUAGUUGGUGGGGUAAAGGCCUACCAAGCCGACGAUCCUUAGCUGGUCUGAGAGGAUGAUCAGCCACACUGGGACUGAGACACGGCCCAGACUCCUACGGGAGGCAGCAGUGGGGAAUAUUGGACAAUGGGCGAAAGCCUGAUCCAGCAAUGCCGCGUGAGUGAUGAAGGCCUUAGGGUUGUAAAGCUCUUUUACCAGGGAUGAUAAUGACAGUACCUGGAGAAUAAGCUCCGGCUAACUCCGUGCCAGCAGCCGCGGUA
RNAcentral lists this ribosomal RNA (468 nucleotides) under uncultured Novosphingobium sp. RNAcentral describes it as "bacterial SSU rRNA". It matches the Rfam family "Bacterial small subunit ribosomal RNA", at positions 9 to 522 of the family's 1533-position model. Lineage: Bacteria; Pseudomonadati; Pseudomonadota; Alphaproteobacteria; Sphingomonadales; Sphingomonadaceae. The record is from RNAcentral.